This 236-nucleotide ribosomal RNA is filed under the name uncultured bacterium. RNAcentral describes it as "partial 16S ribosomal RNA". It matches the Rfam family "Bacterial small subunit ribosomal RNA", at positions 15 to 233 of the family's 1533-position model. The record is from RNAcentral.
GAUCAUGGCUCAGGAUGAACGCUGGCGGCGUGCUUAACACAUGCAAGUCGAACGAAGCACUUAAGAUUGAUUCUUCGGAUGAAGUCUUUUGUGACUGAGUGGCGGACGGGUGAGUAACGCGUGGGUAACCUGCCUCAUACAGGGGGAUAACAGUUAGAAAUGACUGCUAAUACCGCAUAAGACCACGGAGCCGCAUGGCUCAGUGGGAAAAACUCCGGUGGUAUGAGAUGGACCCG